CACUCUAUAGUUUAAAAAACAUGAACUUUGGAAGUUCAAGAUUGAAAUUAAUUUCAUGGAUUGA
This 64-nucleotide transfer RNA is filed under the name Laevipilina hyalina. RNAcentral describes it as "tRNA-Pro". The record is from RNAcentral. Lineage: Eukaryota; Metazoa; Mollusca; Monoplacophora; Tryblidiida; Neopilinidae.